GACGAACGCUGGCGGCGUGCCUCAUACAUGCAAGUCGAGCGGUUGUAGCAAUACAGCAGCGGCGGACGGGUGAGUAACACGUGGGCAACCUGGCCUUAAGAGGGGGAUAACGUUUCGAAAGGAACGCUAAUACCGCGUAACGCAGAGAGAUCGCAUGAUUUCAUUGCAAAAGGAGAAAUCCGCUUAAGGAUGGGCCCGCGGCCUAUUAGCUAGUUGGUAAGGGUAAUGGCCUACCAAGGCGACGAUAGGUAGCCGACCUGAGAGGGUGAACGGCCACACUGGAACUGAGAACGGUCCAGACUCCUACGGGAGGCAGCAGUAGGGAAUAUUCCGCAAUGGGCGAAAGCCUGACGGAGCAACGCCGCGUGAGUGAAGAAGAUCUUCGGAUUGUAAAGCUCUGUCAACAGGGACGAUAAUGACGGUACCUGUGGAGGAAGCCACGGCAAACUACGUG
Molecule: ribosomal RNA, 454 nt
Filed under: uncultured bacterium
Lineage: Bacteria
Description: bacterial SSU rRNA
Rfam family: Bacterial small subunit ribosomal RNA
Source: RNAcentral